Molecule: ribosomal RNA, 380 nt
Filed under: uncultured eukaryote
Lineage: Eukaryota
Description: partial 18S ribosomal RNA
Rfam family: Eukaryotic small subunit ribosomal RNA
Source: RNAcentral
CAAUAGCGUAUAUUAAAGUUGUUGCAGUUAAAAAGCUCGUAGUUGGAUUUGUGGUGUACUUCGGCGGCCCGUCACUAUGUGAUGGAGCUUGCUGAAGUCGCCAUCCUUGGGUGGAUCCUGUGUGGCAUUAAGUUGUCGUGCAGGGGAUGCCCAUCGUUUACUGUGAAAAAAUUAGAGUGUUCAAAGCAGGCUUAUGCCGUUGAAUAUAUUAGCAUGGAAUAAUAAGAUAGGACCUUGGUACUAUUUUGUUGGUUUGCGCACCAAGGUAAUGAUUAAUAGGGACAGUUGGGGGUAUUCGUAUUUCAUUGUCAGAGGUGAAAUUCUUGGAUUUACGCAAGACAAACAGCUGCGAAAGCGUCUGCCAAGGAUGUUUUCAUUAA